This 309-nucleotide ribosomal RNA is filed under the name Triticum aestivum (bread wheat). Its description in RNAcentral is "partial small subunit ribosomal RNA". The record is from RNAcentral. Lineage: Eukaryota; Viridiplantae; Streptophyta; Magnoliopsida; Poales; Poaceae.
AUGUUGAUUUGUCAAAUAUUGGUAGCAAACCAAUUAUGCUCCAUCGCCGCCGAGCCCCAAUCCAGCCACCUCCCCAGCGGCCUGUUCUCAUGGGAGCGCCUGCUCGCUGCAGCCUCAGCUCAUCUUCGCUUUGAAGGAGGUCACCAGAUGGCGCGGCCACGGACGGGCGGCCAAACGGCUGGUGGAUCUAGACCCUACCUCGCCGGAUCCAGUGCUCGCUUGGGGCUGCGCCACGAGCGGCACCCAAUCAUUCGGGUCGCGCCACUCUGCUACCACUGCCUUCCUGACCGCCGGCGACCGACGGGGUAA